GCCGGAGUGGCGGAAUGGUAGACGCAGCGGAUUCAAAAUCCGCCGCCCUUAAAAGCGUGGGGGUUCGAGUCCCCCCUCCGGUACCA
Molecule: transfer RNA, 86 nt
Filed under: Pseudomonadota bacterium
Lineage: Bacteria; Pseudomonadati; Pseudomonadota
Description: tRNA-Leu
Rfam family: tRNA
About the family: Transfer RNA (tRNA) molecules are approximately 80 nucleotides in length. Their secondary structure includes four short double-helical elements and three loops (D, anti-codon, and T loops).
Source: RNAcentral